RNAcentral lists this ribosomal RNA (422 nucleotides) under uncultured bacterium. RNAcentral describes it as "bacterial SSU rRNA". It matches the Rfam family "Bacterial small subunit ribosomal RNA", at positions 363 to 777 of the family's 1533-position model. The record is from RNAcentral.
CUUCCGCAAUGGGCGAAAGCCUGACGGAGCAACGCCGCGUGAGUGAUGAAGGUCUUCGGAUCGUAAAACUAUGUUAUUAGGGAAGAAAAAAUGUGUAAGUAACUGUGCACGUCUUGACGGUACCUAAUCAGAAAGCCACGGCUAACUAAGUGCCAGCAGCCGCGGUAAUACGUAGGUGGCAAGCGUUAUCCGGAAUUAUUGGGCGUAAAGCGCGCGUAGGCGGUUUCUUAAGUCUGAUGUGAAAGCCCACGGCUCAACCGUGGAGGGUCAUUGGAAACUGGGAAACUUGAGUGCAGAAGAGGAAAGUGGAAUUCCAUGUGUAGCGGUGAAAUGCGCAGAGAUAUGGAGGAACACCAGUGGCGAAGGCGACUUUCUGGUCUGUAACUGACGCUGAUGUGCGAAAGCGUGGGGAUCAAACAGGA